UUCAUAGCGAUCAUUACAAGUUUGAGUGAAAAAGACUUUCAUUCAAUUAAAAGGAAAAUGGGUGUAAAUCCCAUGCUGUCCCGCAGCUGUAAAUGAGGAGUUUUGUUUCAAAUACCACUAAGUGAUUACUUGGGAAGGUGAAGCAAAAUCAUGAUUCAUGAGCCAGAAUGCCUGCUUGUAAGGAGAUUCAUUG
Molecule: non-coding RNA, 193 nt
Filed under: Lysinibacillus sphaericus
Lineage: Bacteria; Bacillati; Bacillota; Bacilli; Caryophanales; Bacillaceae
Source: RNAcentral